Molecule: ribosomal RNA, 1395 nt
Filed under: unidentified marine bacterioplankton
Lineage: Bacteria
Also listed under: 1 other name
Description: bacterial SSU rRNA
Rfam family: Bacterial small subunit ribosomal RNA
Source: RNAcentral
CUAGUGAUUAGAGUUUGAUCAUGGCUCAGGAUGAACGCUAGCGGCAGGCUUAAUACAUGCAAGUCGAGGGGCAGCACGGGUAGCAAUAUCUGGUGGCGACCGGCGCACGGGUGCGUAACACGUAUACAAUCUACCCUUAACAGGGGGAUAGCCCUCCGAAAGGAGGAUUAAUACCCCAUAAUAAAUUGAAUGGCAUCAUUUGAUUUUGAAAGUUCCGACGGUUAAGGAUGAGUAUGCGUCUGAUUAGCUAGUUGGUGAGGUAAAGGCUCACCAAGGCAACGAUCAGUAGGGGAUCUGAGAGGACUACCCCCCACACUGGUACUGAGACACGGACCAGACUCCUACGGGAGGCAGCAGUAAGGAAUAUUGGUCAAUGGAGGCAACUCUGAACCAGCCAUGCCGCGUGCAGGAAGACGGCCCUAUGGGUUGUAAACUGCUUUUGUACGGGAGAAAGCCCUUUCACGUGUGAGAGGUUGAUGGUACCGUAAGAAUAAGCAUCGGCUAACUUCGUGCCAGCAGCCGCGGUAAGACGAAGGAUGCAAGCGUUAUCCGGAUUCAUUGGGUUUAAAGGGAGCGUAGGUGGACUUGUAAGUCAGUGGUGAAAUCUCUCAGCUUAACUGAGAAACUGCCAUUGAUACUGCAGGUCUUGAGUACAGAUGAUGUGGGCGGAAUAUGACAUGUAGUGGUGAAAUACUUAGAUAUGUCAUAGAACACCGAUUGCGAAGGCAGCUCACAAAACUGUAACUGACACUGAGGCUCGAAAGUGCGGGGAUCAAACAGGAUUAGAUACCCUGGUAGUCCGCACCGUAAACGAUGAUUACUCGUUGUUAGCGAUAUGACAGUUAGCGACCAAGCGAAAGCGAUAAGUAAUCCACCUGGGGAGUACGCCGGCAACGGUGAAACUCAAAGGAAUUGACGGGGGCCCGCACAAGCGGAGGAGCAUGUGGUUUAAUUCGAUGAUACGCGAGGAACCUUACCUGGGCUUGAAAGUUAGUGACCGUCUCUGAAAGGAGAUUUUCCGCAAGGACACGAAACUAGGUGCUGCAUGGCUGUCGUCAGCUCGUGCCGUGAGGUGUUGGGUUAAGUCCCGCAACGAGCGCAACCCCUACCAUUAGUUACCAGCGAGUAAUGUCGGGAACUCUAAUGGAACUGCCCGUGCAAACGGUGAGGAAGGUGGGGAUGACGUCAAGUCAUCACGGCCCUUACGUCCAGGGCUACACACGUGCUACAAUGGCCGGUACAACGGGCAGCUACACAGCGACGUGAUGCUAAUCUCUAAAAACCGGUCUCAGUUCGGAUUGAAGUCUGCAACUCGACUUCAUGAAGCUGGAUUCGCUAGUAAUCGCGCAUCAGCAAUGGCGCGGUGAAUACGUUCCCGGGCCUUGUAGACACCGC